AAGUCGUAACAAGGUUUCCGUAGGUGAACCUGCGGAAGGAUCAUUAAUACAUGUUGAGUUGCUUAAAUGCAAUUCUUUGUAUACUAUUUACCCCCCACCAACCCAGAGGUGCAUUGUGGCCUUUAAUUAGGUUAGCAGUGUAUCAGUACGUAUGACAAAGGCAACUUUGGCUUACAUUACAUAUAAGUUACCCCCCAUUUACACUUAAGAAGUUUUAAGAAUGAUACCUAUAACUAUAUAA
Molecule: unclassified non-coding RNA, 241 nt
Filed under: plant metagenome
Description: partial contains small subunit ribosomal RNA and internal transcribed spacer 1
Rfam family: Eukaryotic small subunit ribosomal RNA (bases 1-46)
Source: RNAcentral